AGAGUUUGAUCCUGGCUCAGAUUGAACGCUGGCGGCAUGCUUUACACAUGCAAGUCGAGCGGCAGCGCGGGGGCAACCCUGGCGGCGAGCGGCGAACGGGUGAGUAACACAUCGGAACGUAUCCCGUAGAGGGGGAUAGCCCGGCGAAAGCCGGAUUAAUACCGCAUAUGCUCUACGGAGGAAAGCAGGGGACCUGGUAACGGGCCUUGCGCUAUGGGAGCGGCCGAUGUCCGAUUAGCUUGUUGGCGGGGUAAUGGCCCACCAAGGCGACGAUCGGUAGCUGGUCUGAGAGGAUGAUCAGCCACACUGGGACUGAGACACGGCCCAGACUCCUACGGGAGGCAGCAGUGGGGAAUUUUGGACAAUGGGGGAAACCCUGAUCCAGCCAUGCCGCGUGAGUGAAGAAGGCCUUCGGGUUGUAAAGCUCUUUUGGUCGGAAAGAAGGAGUUCGGGUGAAUAACCUGGAUUUUGAC
This 473-nucleotide ribosomal RNA is filed under the name uncultured soil bacterium. RNAcentral's name for it is "bacterial SSU rRNA". It matches the Rfam family "Bacterial small subunit ribosomal RNA", at positions 8 to 479 of the family's 1533-position model. The record is from RNAcentral.